This 255-nucleotide ribosomal RNA is filed under the name uncultured bacterium. RNAcentral describes it as "partial small subunit ribosomal RNA". It matches the Rfam family "Bacterial small subunit ribosomal RNA", at positions 26 to 291 of the family's 1533-position model. The record is from RNAcentral.
AGGACGAACGCUUGCGGCGUGCCUAAGAAAUGCAAGUCGAGCGGGGGAGCAAUCCCUAGCGGCGAACGGUCGCGUACCACGUAAGCAACCUGCCCCAGAGACCGGGACAACAGUUCGAAAGGGCUGCUAAUACCGGAUGUGGCCGCUCCAAGACAUCUUGGGGCGUCUAAAUCACUUGUUGGCUCUGGGAGGGCUUGCGGCCUAUCAGCUAGAUGGCGAGGUAAUGGCUCACCACGGCGACGACGGGUAGCUGGU